This 476-nucleotide ribosomal RNA is filed under the name uncultured bacterium. Its description in RNAcentral is "partial 16S ribosomal RNA". It matches the Rfam family "Bacterial small subunit ribosomal RNA", at positions 28 to 523 of the family's 1533-position model. The record is from RNAcentral.
GACGAACGCUGGCGGCGUGCUUAACACAUGCAAGUCGAGCGGAAAGGCCCUUUCGGGGGUACUCGAGCGGCGAACGGGUGAGUAACACGUGAGUAAUCUGCCCUUCACUUGGGGAUAACUACCGGAAACGGCGGCUAAUACCCGAUAUGACCAAUCACUGCAUGGUGUGUUGGUGGAAAGUUUUUUCGGUGGAGGAUGUGCUCGCGGCCUAUCAGCUUGUUGGUGGGGUAAUGGCCUACCAAGGCUUCGACGGGUAGCCGGCCUGAGAGGGUGACCGGCCACACUGGGACUGAGACACGGCCCAGACUCCUACGGGAGGCAGCAGUGGGGAAUAUUGGACGAUGGGCGAAAGCCUGAUCCAGCAACGCCGCGUGAGGGAUGACGGCCUUCGGGUUGUAAACCUCUUUCGGCCGGGAAAAUAAUGAUGGUACCAGCAGAAUAAGCACCUGCAAACUACGUGCCAGCAGCCGCGGUAA